RNAcentral lists this ribosomal RNA (587 nucleotides) under uncultured Lactobacillus sp. Its description in RNAcentral is "bacterial SSU rRNA". It matches the Rfam family "Bacterial small subunit ribosomal RNA", at positions 62 to 619 of the family's 1533-position model. Lineage: Bacteria; Bacillati; Bacillota; Bacilli; Lactobacillales; Lactobacillaceae. The record is from RNAcentral.
CCAACUGAUAUGACGUGCUUGCACAGAUUUGACGAUGGAUCACCAGUGAGCGGCGGACGGGUGAGUAACACGUGGGCAACCUGCCCUGGAGCGGGGGAUAACAUUUGGAAACAGAUGCUAAUACCGCAUAACAAUCAAAACCACAUGGUUUUGAUUUCAAAGAUGGUUUCGGCUAUCACUCCAGGAUGGGCCCGCGGUGCAUUAGCUAGUUGGUAAGGUAACGGCUUACCAAGGCGAUGAUGCAUAGCCGAGUUGAGAGACUGAUCGGCCACAAUGUAACUGAGACACGGUCCAUACUCCUACGGGAGGCAGCAGUAGGGAAUCUUCCACAAUGGGCGCAAGCCUGAUGGAGCAACACCGCGUGAGUGAAGAAGGGUUUCGGCUCGUAAAACUCUGUUGUUGAAGAAGAACGUGCGUGAGAGUAACUGUUCACGCAGUGACGGUAUUCAACCAGAAAGUCACGGCUAACUACGUGCCAGCAGCCGCGGUAAUACGUAGGUGGCAAGCGUUAUCCGGAUUUAUUGGGCGUAAAGCGAGCGCAGGCGGUUACUUAAGUCUGAUGUGAAAGCCUUCGGCUUAACCGAAGA